Molecule: ribosomal RNA, 35 nt
Filed under: Pharyngocirrus uchidai
Lineage: Eukaryota; Metazoa; Annelida; Polychaeta; Saccocirridae
Description: partial 5.8S rRNA
Source: RNAcentral
AUAACUCUAAGCGGUGGAUCACUCGGCUCGGGUGU